This 684-nucleotide ribosomal RNA is filed under the name Pseudomonadota bacterium. RNAcentral's name for it is "bacterial SSU rRNA". It matches the Rfam family "Bacterial small subunit ribosomal RNA", at positions 39 to 722 of the family's 1533-position model. Lineage: Bacteria; Pseudomonadati; Pseudomonadota. The record is from RNAcentral.
GCGGAAUGCUUUACACAUGCAAGUCGAACGGUAGAGGGGGCAACCCCUUGAGAGUGGCGAACGGGUGAGUAAUAUAUCGGAACGUGCCCAGUCGUGGGGGAUAACGUAGUGAAAAUUACGCUAAUACCGCAUACGAUCUAAGGAUGAAAGCGGGGGAUCGCAAGACCUCGCGCGACUGGAGCGGCCGAUAUCAGAUUAGGUAGUUGGUAGGGUAAAGGCCUACCAAGCCAACGAUCUGUAGCUGGUCUGAGAGGACGACCAGCCACACUGGAACUGAGACACGGUCCAGACUCCUACGGGAGGCAGCAGUGGGGAAUUUUGGACAAUGGGCGAAAGCCUGAUCCAGCCAUUCCGCGUGCAGGAUGAAGGCCCUCGGGUUGUAAACUGCUUUUGUACAGAACGAAAAGGUCUCUAUUAAUACUAGGGGCUCAUGACGGUACUGUAAGAAUAAGCACCGGCUAACUACGUGCCAGCAGCCGCGGUAAUACGUAGGGUGCAAGCGUUAAUCGGAAUUACUGGGCGUAAAGCGUGCGCAGGCGGUUAUAUAAGUCAGAUGUGAAAUCCCCGGGCUCAACCUGGGAACUGCAUUUGAGACUGUAUAGCUAGAGUACGGUAGAGGGGGAUGGAAUUCCGCGUGUAGCAGUGAAAUGCGUAGAUAUGCGGAGGAACACCGAUGGCGAAGGC